CUUAAAUUGAAGAGUUUGAUCAUGGCUCAGAUUGAACGCUGGCGGCAGGCCUAACACAUGCAAGUCGAGCGGAAACGAGUUAUCAGAACCUUCGGGGGACGAU
Molecule: ribosomal RNA, 103 nt
Filed under: Vibrio parahaemolyticus
Lineage: Bacteria; Pseudomonadati; Pseudomonadota; Gammaproteobacteria; Vibrionales; Vibrionaceae
Description: partial 16S ribosomal RNA
Rfam family: Bacterial small subunit ribosomal RNA
Source: RNAcentral